Molecule: ribosomal RNA, 262 nt
Filed under: uncultured bacterium
Lineage: Bacteria
Description: partial 16S ribosomal RNA
Rfam family: Bacterial small subunit ribosomal RNA
Source: RNAcentral
GCAAGUCGAACGAGAAAGUCUCUUCGGAGGCGAGUAGAGUGGCGCACGGGUGAGUAACACGUAGGUGACCUACCUUACAGUUGGGGAUAACAGGGAGAAGUUCCUGCUAAUACCGAAUUCGCAAAACAAUUUUGGAAGUAGUUUUGGAAAGAUGGCCUCUAUACUAUGCUAUCGCUGUAAGAAGGGCCUGCGGGUCAUUAGCUUGUUGGUGGGGUAAUGGCCUACCAAGGCAGUGAUGACUAGCUGGUCUGAGAGGAUGAUC